Molecule: long non-coding RNA, 328 nt
Organism: Aquila chrysaetos chrysaetos
Lineage: Eukaryota; Metazoa; Chordata; Aves; Accipitriformes; Accipitridae
Exons: 3
Source: RefSeq, a predicted model, not a curated record
GCACAACUAUUUUGAAAACGCAUAAAUUCGUGUGUGCGUGCGUGCGUGUGUGUGUGUGGUUUUUUCCUAAGCCCAUGACAAAGCACUAUGAGGUCAGAAUGGAAUGGAUACUUAGAGCUGCUUGAGCCAGCUAAAGGAAUAAUAAGGAAAUUUCCUCACUUCAUGAUUAUCUGAGGGUGUAAGUGCUUUGCUAUUGGAAAUAUAUCAUAUACACUUGCAUGUUCUGUGUCAGAGAAGACACAAAAGCAAAGCCACAUCUAGGAAGCACUUUGGAUUCUGGAAAGAAAUUACGAUCAAGUGCAAUGAAGGUCAAGCAGUAUAAGGAAUA